RNAcentral lists this unclassified non-coding RNA (366 nucleotides) under uncultured bacterium. RNAcentral's name for it is "contains 16S-23S intergenic spacer region". The record is from RNAcentral.
UCCUGGUUAACCCAGGCAGUCUCGUGUGAAAAAUACAACACACGACGAGGGUUGCGCUCGUUGCGGGACUUAACCCAACAUCUCACGACACGAGCUGACGACGACCAUGCAGCACCUGUCACCGGUCCGGCCAAACCGACUCCCACGUUUCUGUGGGAUACGACCGGGAUGUCAAGCCCUGGUAAGGUUCUUCGCUUAGCGUCGAAUUAAACCACACGCUCCACCGCUUGUGCGGCCCCCCGUCAAUUCCUUUGAGUUUUAAGCUUGCGCUCGUACUCCCCAGGCGGGGCACUUAACGCGUUAGCUACGACACCCAGGGGGUCUAUGCCCCAGAUGCCUAGUGCCCAUCGUUUACAGCGUGGACUA